UCCUCCCUCAAACGUCACUGCUUCUCCAAUAAUUACCCUCACCUGUAACCCUCUGUUUCUCCUCUUGCAUUUCCUUCGCGCCUCCAGUCUCCGUUAUCCUUCCUCCAUGUCCUGUUCCAGUUCGUCGAUCUCUGCUUCCUUUGUGUGUCUUGUCAUUCUCUGCCUGUGGCUGUGCUGAAGCCCUAUUUACUACUUGCAGGGUUCCACCACAGGUAAUGUUCGUUCAUCCUUUGCAAAACCAUGGCCCCCAGCUAAAGUUAAUAAUUUAAAGAAGGCUGGUCCAAAAGCUUAGACCUUGAAAAUUGCCAAGGUAGUGAAGUCGGGUGCUACCUUUAAGAAGAAGGCUAAGAAGAUCAGAACAAAGGUCACAUUCUAUUGCCCCAAGACUUUGAAGAAGGAUAGGAACCCUAAAUACCCCCGUAUUAGUGCCCCACCAAGGAACAACAUUGACCAUUAUCAAAUUCUUAAAUACCCUCUUACAACCGAGUUGGCAAUGAAGAAAAUUGGAGACAACAACACUAUGGUUUUCAUUGUUGACUUGCGUGCUGACAAGAAGAUGAUCAAGGACGCAAUGAAGAAAAUGUAUGACAUCUAAGCCAAGAAAGCGAACACUUUGAUAAGGCCUCACUCUGCCUAUGUUACACCUACGGUAUAUAGCUAGUCCCAAGCCCGAAUAAAAGAGGAGGGUUGUGUUAGGCCUUCGAUAGCCAACAUAAAAAUUUAGUCGAAUCUUCAUGACAUGGAUCAAAGAUGUUAUUGCGCUAAAACUAGGUCGUUGCCCGGAAGUAGCGCACUGUAUGGCUUGCGUAUAGUGUCAAAUGAGCAAAAUCCAUUGCAUCGGUGCCCGGGUGUACUUUUAAAUGAGUAAGGGUUCCUGCGUUUUCGUGAACGGACGAAGGUAAAUAUGCUAGUUCACAAAGAAAAAGGUAAAGGUAAAGGUUGGAGUAACAAAAAGUUGAAAUUUAGGACAUGGAACAUAGGCACUCUAACAGGAAAAUCCAUGGAGGCGGUGGAUACCAUAACAAUGAGGAAGAUUAACAUCAUAUGCCUACAAGAAAUAAAAUGGGUCGGCAGAAAGGCUAGGAAGUUGGAUACCUCUGGAUUUAAACUUUGGUAUACAGGAAAGGUGAAGAAUAGGAAUAUGAUAGGUAUUUUCGUGGAUAAGUAAUGGAAGAAAGAUGUAGUGGAUGUUAAGAGGGUGGGUGAUCAUAUUAUCUCUAUCAAACUUGUGGUGGAAGAAGGUACCUUUCAUAUGAUUAGUGCCUAUGCACUACAAGUGGGUUCAGACGAGCAAUACAAGAUAAGGUUUUGGGAUGAUCUAGAGAGUUUGGUCCAAGGCAUACCUUCGAGAGAUAAGAUUUUCUUAGGAGGAUAUUUAAAUAGCCAUGUUGAAAGAGAAGUGUCUGAAUAUGGAAAUAUUCACAGAGGCCAUAGUUUCAGGGUGGUCAAUAUAAAGGGUAAAACUAUUUUGGAUUUUUCCUCAACCUUUGACAUUCUCAUCGCAAAUACAUGUUUUAAAAAGAGAGACGAACAUCUUAUAACCUAUAGGAGUGGUAUGACAAGCUCUUAAAUCGGCUUCUUUUUGUUGAGGAGAGUCGAUCCAAAAUUUUGCAUUAAUUAUAAAAUUAUUCUGGGAGAUAUUUUAACAACACAACAUAUAGGAUGCUCGUCAUGGAUGUUCACGUUGAGUAAAAGUUGAGGAAAAGACAUCAUACAAAGAACCUAAGGACGAGGUGGUGGCGAAUGAAAUGUGAGGAACAAAGAAGUUUCCUAAGACGGGUAGGAGAAGAGAAAAAGUAGAAAGGGGAUGGAAGCACAUAGUAGAUGUGGGAAAAAUGACAGAAGUUAUUAGAAAAAUAGCAAAAGAAAGUUUUGGUGAAUUUAGAGGGAUAGGACCAAGAGACAAGGAGUCCUGGUAGUGGAAUGCGAGUGUACAAGAAAAGAUAAAGGCAAGAAGGGAGUGCUUUAAAGAGUGGUCUUUGUGCUGCAAUGCAGAUAAUUGAGAAAAAUAUAAGGCAGCUAAGAAAGAGACAAAAGUGACUGUAAGUGAAGUAAAAACAAGAGCAUACGAGAGUCUCUACUAGUCUUUAGGCACGAAGAAAGGAGAAAAAAUUAUAUAUAGAAUCGCAAAUAGUCGUAAAAGAAGAAUGUGACUUGGAUCAGGUUAGGUGUAUAAAGAAUAAAGAUGGAGAGGUUUUAGCUCAAGAUGAGAAGAUCAAUGAAAGGUGGAAGAGCUACUUUUAUAAGUUAUUUAAUAAAGUACAAAUGAUUAUUUCAAUCUUGAUCGGUUAUGCACAAGCUGAAAGUCUAGUCAAACACAAAACUAGUCCAGUGAGAUAAUCAAAUUAAAUUAUUCAAGAUCGGCCAUAUAAGUAAUUAUUAAUUGGUGUAUACCCAAAAGUUUAAAGUUUGAGAUUAGGGAUUUCCAACUCUCACCAAAAAUUCAAAAGCAUUUCAAAUUCAUUGAUAAUUAGCUUGCAUAUGGGUGGAAAUGGGUAAGAUUUGAGUUUCACUCCAAUUUUAUCUGUACAAUUUAAUGCUUAUAAAUUCUCUCUAAUUUUAUUUGUGGAUGUAGAAAUGUAACACAGGUUUAAUUUGUGUAAUCUGCAUAUUUUUAAAUUUCAUUCCAAUCAAUAUUAUAUUUAGU
Molecule: long non-coding RNA, 2647 nt
Organism: Arachis stenosperma
Lineage: Eukaryota; Viridiplantae; Streptophyta; Magnoliopsida; Fabales; Fabaceae
Exons: 4
Source: RefSeq, a predicted model, not a curated record